CCGGGACCGGCGCACGGGUAAGUAACGCGUAUGACACUUACCUAUCAGGGAGGGGUAACCCGGCGAAAGUCGGACUAAUACCGCAUGAAGCAGGGGCCCCGCAUGGGGAUAUUUGCUAAAGAUUCAUCGCUGAUAGAUAGGCAUGCGUUCCAUUAGGCAGUUGGCGGGGUAACGGCCCACCAAACCGACGAUGGAUAGGGGUUCUGAGAGGAAGGUCCCCCACAUUGGAACUGAGACACGGUCCAA
This 246-nucleotide ribosomal RNA is filed under the name uncultured bacterium. Its description in RNAcentral is "partial 16S ribosomal RNA". It matches the Rfam family "Bacterial small subunit ribosomal RNA", at positions 89 to 334 of the family's 1533-position model. The record is from RNAcentral.